RNAcentral lists this ribosomal RNA (466 nucleotides) under uncultured bacterium. RNAcentral describes it as "partial 16S ribosomal RNA". It matches the Rfam family "Bacterial small subunit ribosomal RNA", at positions 28 to 507 of the family's 1533-position model. The record is from RNAcentral.
GAUGAACGCUGGCGGCGUGCUUAACACAUGCAAGUCGAACGGAAAGGCUCCUGCUUGCAGGGGUGCUCGAGUGGCGAACGGGUGAGUAACACGUGGGUGAUCUGCCCUGCACUUCGGGAUAAGCCUUGGAAACUGUGUCUAAUACCGGAUAGGACGAUGGUUUGGAUGGCAUUUUGGAGAGUUUUUUCGGUGUGGGUUGAGCUCGUGGCCUAUGAUCUUGUUGGUGGGGUAAUGGCCUACCAAGGGGUCGCCGGGUAGCCGGCCUGGGGGGGUGGACGGCCACAAUGGGAAUGAGGUAAGGCCCAGACUCCUAAGGGAGGCAAGAGGGGGGAAAAAUGCAAAAAGGGGGGAAGGCUGAUGGAGCGGAGCCGGGGGGGGGAAGAAGGCCCUCGGGGUGGAAAAUCCUUUCGCGAAGGAAGGAACGCAAAGGACGGUACCUGGAGAAGAAGCACCGGCUAAAUAAGUG